RNAcentral lists this ribosomal RNA (494 nucleotides) under uncultured bacterium. RNAcentral's name for it is "partial 16S ribosomal RNA". It matches the Rfam family "Bacterial small subunit ribosomal RNA", at positions 28 to 507 of the family's 1533-position model. The record is from RNAcentral.
GACGAACGCUGGCGGCGUGCUUAACACAUGCAAGUCGAACGGAAAGGCCUGCUUUCCCUUGUGGAUUGCGGGUACUCGAGUGGCGAACGGGUGAGUAACACGUGAGUGAUCUGCCCCCAACUUGGGUAUAAGCCUGGGAAACUGGGUCUAAUUCCCGAUAGGACUGCAGGGUGGUGCCUGUGGUGGAAAACGAUUUUCUAGUGGUUGGGGAUGAGCUCGCGGCCUAUCAGCUUGUUGGUGGGGUAAUGGCCUACCAAGGCGGCGACGGGUAGCCGGCCUGAGAGGGUGGACGGCCACAUUGGGACUGAGACACGGCCCAGACGCCUACGGGAGGCAGCAGUGGGGAAUAUUGGACAAUGGGCGGAAGCCUGAUGCAGCGACGCCGCGUGGGGGAUGACGGCCUUCGGGUUGUAAACUCCUUUCGACCGCGAGGAAGCCACCUGGUUGGAAGGGUGGUGACGGUAGUGGUAGAAGAAGCACCGGCUAACUACGUG